Molecule: ribosomal RNA, 477 nt
Filed under: uncultured bacterium
Lineage: Bacteria
Description: SSU rRNA
Rfam family: Bacterial small subunit ribosomal RNA
Source: RNAcentral
AGGACGAACGCUGGCGGCGUGCUUAACACAUGCAAGUCGAACGGAAAGGCCCGCUUGCGGGUACUCGAGUGGCGAACGGGUGAGUAACACGUGGGCAACCUGCCCUCAGCUCUGGGAUAACUCCGGGAAACCGGUGCUAAUACUGGAUAUCGACUUCUGCCUCGCAUGGGGUGUUGUUGAAAGUUUUUCGGCUGGGGAUGGGCCCGCGGCCUAUCAGCUUGUUGGUGGGGUGAUGGCCUACCAAGGCGACGACGGGUAGCCGGCCUGAGAGGGCGACCGGCCACACUGGGACUGAGACACGGCCCAGACUCCUACGGGAGGCAGCAGUGGGGAAUAUUGCGCAAUGGGCGGAAGCCUGACGCAGCGACGCCGCGUGAGGGAUGACGGCCUUCGGGUUGUAAACCUCUUUCAGCUCUGACGAAGCGAGAGUGACGGUAGGAGCAGAGAAGCACCGGCCAACUACGUGCCAGCAGCCGC